RNAcentral lists this non-coding RNA (120 nucleotides) under Marinomonas foliarum. Lineage: Bacteria; Pseudomonadati; Pseudomonadota; Gammaproteobacteria; Oceanospirillales; Oceanospirillaceae. The record is from RNAcentral.
UUGAGCCGUGUGAGUUGAAAGGCGCGUGCACGGUGCUUAGGGGACUGGACGCGGGCAACCGCGUCCGGCUACCCGACAACGCCGCUUUGCUAUCAUUGUAGAUAAAGCAUUUUAUUCGAU